GGGGCUCCCAGCCCAGCACGACCCCACUGUGACCACCCCAGCUUGGCCCCAGCCCUGCCUGCGGCCAGGCCCACGCUGCCCCGCGCCCACCACCCUCUCCCCGCUCCGCCUUGUGUCUUCGCAGAGACUUCUCCAUUUCCCAGCGUGGAGGUUGCAAUUGCCGUGCUCUUCUUCCUCCUCCUUAUCUUCAUCCUCGCCUUCUGCGUGUACCACAAGAAGCGGCGGGGUGAGGGGCAGAGCCAGGGUGCAGCCGGGGCACCCGCACGCGGCUGCUUACCCACCCGUGCCCCGUGCUGUGCAGGGAGCCCUGGGACCCCCAGCGAAGUCCGGGAUGCAGAGACCCCGAGGCUGCCCCCCCAGCAGAGCAGCGAGCAGGACAAGGACGUCCACUACGCCGACCUGCAGCCCCUGCCCGAGGCGGCGCGGCGCAGCCGGAGCCCCGGUGCGGAUCGCUCUGAGUACGCCAG
This is a long non-coding RNA of Oxyura jamaicensis (ruddy duck), 467 nucleotides long. RefSeq lists it as uncharacterized. The record is from RefSeq and is a predicted model, not a curated record. NCBI's taxonomy places the organism in Eukaryota, Metazoa, Chordata, Aves, Anseriformes, Anatidae. The transcript has 3 exons.